This 1203-nucleotide long non-coding RNA is filed under the name Gossypium barbadense (sea-island cotton). RNAcentral describes it as "long non-coding RNA (GBAR_LNC006205)". The record is from RNAcentral. Lineage: Eukaryota; Viridiplantae; Streptophyta; Magnoliopsida; Malvales; Malvaceae.
UAAACCCUAGAUAUUCCUUAAAUAAAACAGUUUCUUUUAAAGAUAAAUUUAUUAAUUCAUUUCAUGAAUGAGAAUGUACAAUUUAAAAAAAAAAAAAACCACUUGUAGACAGUGAAGGACAAGCUCUAUCAAUACAAUAAAAGUUUUAACCUUAGCAUCAAAUGAACGUUAUGGCACGUUGACAAUUAGCUCUAUCACAAUUCAAGUACAGCAUAUUUAGAGUGGUUGCAAGCACUUAAUACAUUAAUGAAAUCAGCUUUAGAUGGCCCAAAAUGAUAGGGUAAAAUUGACAAAAGAACCAAGCAUCCAUCAAACUGGAACCGCUUGUAAAAGAAAGAUGACAUGUGUAAUGGGCCAAAUCCGUCCAGGCCCAAUUAAACCCAAAAUGCCCCAAGCCCAAAAAAAACCCUAGCCAAAUACAUUAAAAAAAUCAGAAAAAAAGAAACAAAAAAAAAACCUAAGUUCAGCCGCCGUACCAUCGCCCAUACCUUCUGCCUUCAACCACUCUCUGCCAUCCUUGCAAAACAGACCAAAGAAGAGCAGAUAAACACAACACGCAAACAGUAGCAGAAACAUUUUUUUUAAUAUUUGUAAUCGGCUUUAAAAGGCCGAAUAAUGAAUGUAAAAGGGGGGCUCUUUUCAAAAUUCAAAAAACGAAGAAAUUAAUCAAAAAGAGACCAAGAAUUUCGAAAGGUUUUUUAUCCUUUUUAUUUUUUAUUUUUGAUAAAAUAAAUAAAUAAGCAAAACAUACCUGUUGUCUUGUUUUCUCACCACGGUUAAAGGCCGUCGCCGGCGUUUUGAUGCCACAAACCCGUUGGGUUCCCAACGAGGGUUUAAAAGAGGGAAAAUAGGAUCUGAAAUAACCCUUUUUUCUUCCCUUUUAUUUUUGAUUUUUGGUUUUAAAAAAGGAGAUAGAGAUCAAAUAAGGGCGGAAGAGACUUAUCUUAGUAGUAACUCCUUCGAGUCCUUGCUUGCUUCGUCGUUAUCGAAGCCUAGGCGAAGAUUCGGAGGCUCAGGAGCACGACCCUCGGAUUCGUGGUCGAACAGGGCUAGAUUUGGCCUUCGCUUGAUGACCGUCGGCCGAAUACGGAGGCAAAACAACAAUUGAAGUCUUUCUUUUUUUUCGGCCGAAUGAGAGGGGAGGCGGCUAAGUUUUGGUGUUGAUUUCAAAUGACUGAGCAUUAGUUUAGGGUUUCUUUUAAU